CCAACACUAAAAGGUAACUUGGCUAAAAGACCACCCAUAUUUUGUCCCUGGAACUCCAAGUUCAUCAGAGAUCCAAGCUAUGAAGGAACCUUUUGCACAACAUCUUAUAUCUUUGGCCCCCCUCUCCAUGGUUGUGCUGCCCCUCAAGCUACUAUACAUGCCUAGAUCAGCCCCCACCACUCCACAGUCUUGCCAUCACUGCCCUCCUUGAAGCUCCUAAACAAGUGGCCCUCCAACAGCUAUGUCACCCUGGCAAGGAUAAGAGAUGACAGACUAGAGAUCCCUCCCUUGGCUUCUCAUCACCCCACACCUGCCGCUUCAGCAGGAAAUAGGAUUGUGGUGGAUGUAUAACAUCAAGAGGAUGUGGAGGAGAUCUCUUCUGCAGACAACGAGAAGAAAAAGGCAAAGGAAUGCCUCGCU
Fukomys damarensis (Damara mole-rat) is the source of this 420-nucleotide long non-coding RNA. RefSeq lists it as uncharacterized. The record is from RefSeq and is a predicted model, not a curated record. The transcript is spliced from 3 exons. NCBI's taxonomy places the organism in Eukaryota, Metazoa, Chordata, Mammalia, Rodentia, Bathyergidae.